UGUUGAAUGAAUGGCAGAUGCCGUGCUAAGGAAAUGACACACACUCAUUCAUUUCACCCUUAAAAGAGCCCUCUGGGAGAGGUGCAGUUACAGCUCCAUUUUAUUUUAUUUAUUUAUUUUUUUGAGACGGAGUUUUGCUCUUCUUUCCUGGUUGGUGCCGAGCCUGGAGACAAAGGCCAGGCCAACUCUGGUAUGGAAGCGUCAAGGGGCUAAGAGACCUUGCCUUGCUCUGCUCUGACCCAGCGCAGACCCGCCACGCUGCUCUCUGGCAUCGGGGAGGCAGAGCUCUGCAGUGGUAACA
RNAcentral lists this long non-coding RNA (301 nucleotides) under Homo sapiens (human). RNAcentral describes it as "non-protein coding lnc-BMP7-5:1". The record is from RNAcentral. Lineage: Eukaryota; Metazoa; Chordata; Mammalia; Primates; Hominidae.